This 492-nucleotide ribosomal RNA is filed under the name uncultured bacterium. RNAcentral describes it as "partial 16S ribosomal RNA". It matches the Rfam family "Bacterial small subunit ribosomal RNA", at positions 29 to 507 of the family's 1533-position model. The record is from RNAcentral.
AGUGAACGCUGGCGGUAGGCCUAACACAUGCAAGUCGAACGGCAGCACAGUAAGAGCUUGCUCUUACGGGUGGCGAGUGGCGGACGGGUGAGGAAUACAUCGGAAUCUACUUUUUCGUGGGGGAUAACGUAGGGAAACUUACGCUAAUACCGCAUACGACCUACGGGUGAAAGCAGGGGAUCUUCGGACCUUGCGCGAUUGAAUGAGCCGAUGUCGGAUUAGCUAGUUGGCGGGGUAAAGGCCCACCAAGGCGACGAUCCGUAGCUGGUCUGAGAGGAUGAUCAGCCACACUGGAACUGAGACACGGUCCAGACUCCUACGGGAGGCAGCAGUGGGGAAUAUUGGACAAAGGGCGCAAGCCUGAUCCAGCCAUGCCGCGUGGGUGAAGAAGGCCUUCGGGUUGUAAAGCCCCUUUGUUGGGAAAGAAAAGCAGCAGGUUAAUACCCCGCUGUUCUGACGGUACCCAAAGAAUAAGCACCGGCUAACUUCGUG